RNAcentral lists this ribosomal RNA (510 nucleotides) under uncultured bacterium. RNAcentral's name for it is "partial 16S ribosomal RNA". It matches the Rfam family "Bacterial small subunit ribosomal RNA", at positions 28 to 507 of the family's 1533-position model. The record is from RNAcentral.
GACGAACGCUGGCGGCGUGCUUAACACAUGCAAGUCGAACGAAGAGCGACGGAAGCUUGCUUCUAUCAAUCUUAGUGGCGAACGGGUGAGUAACGCGUAAUCAACCUGCCCUUCAGAGGGGGACAACAGUUGGAAACGACUGCUAAUACCGCAUACGAUCUAAUCUCGGCAUCGAGGAUGGAUGAAAGGUGGCCUCUACAUGUAAGCUAUCACUGAAGGAGGGGAUUGCGUCUGAUUAGCUAGUUGGAGGGGUAACGGCCCACCAAGGCGAUGAUCAGUAGCCGGUCUGAGAGGAUGAACGGCCACAUUGGGACUGAGACACGGCCCAGACUCCUAUGGGAGGCAGCAGUGGGGAAUCUUCCGCAAUGGACGAAAGUCUGACGGAGCAACGCCGCGUGAGUGAUGACGGCCUUCGGGUUGUAAAGCUCUGUUAAUCGGGACGAAAGGCCUUCUUGCGAAUAGUGAGAAGGAUUGACGGUACCGGAAUAGAAAGCCACGGCUAACUACGUG